RNAcentral lists this ribosomal RNA (253 nucleotides) under uncultured bacterium. RNAcentral describes it as "partial 16S ribosomal RNA". It matches the Rfam family "Bacterial small subunit ribosomal RNA", at positions 524 to 776 of the family's 1533-position model. The record is from RNAcentral.
UACAGAGGGUGCGAGCGUUAAUCGGAAUGACUGGGCGUAAAGGGCGCGUAGGCGGUUAAAUAAGUGAGGUGAUAAAGACAUGGGCUUAACCUAUGGGUGACGCCUUAGACUGUUUAACUAGAGACGAGGAGAGGGGAGUGGAAUUUCCGGAGGAGUGGUGAAAUACGUAGAUUUCGGAAGGAACACCGGAGGCGAAGGCGACUUUCUGGCCUUGUUCUGACGCUGAGGAGCGAAAGCGUGGGUAGCAAACAGG